GAUGAACGCUAGCGGCAGGCUUAAUACAUGCAAGUCGAGGGGUAUUAGGAGCUUGCUUUUAAGAGACCGGCGAACGGGUGCGUAACGCGUAUGCAACCUACCUUUAUCAGGGGGAUAGCCCAGAGAAAUUUGGAUUAAUACCGCAUAAUAUACUGAAUGGCAUCAUUUAGUAUUGAAAGAUUUAUUGGAUAGAGAUGGGCAUGCGUAGGAUUAGCUAGUUGGUGAGGUAACGGCUCACCAAGGCAACGAUCCUUAGGGGCUCUGAGANGAGUAACCCCCACACUGGUACUGAGAUACGGACCAGACUCCUACGGGAGGCAGCAGUAGGGAAUAUUGGUCAAUGGACGGAAGUCUGAACCAGCCAUGCCGCGUGCAGGAAGAUUGCCCUCUGGGUUGUAAACUGCUU
This 406-nucleotide ribosomal RNA is filed under the name uncultured bacterium. RNAcentral's name for it is "bacterial SSU rRNA". It matches the Rfam family "Bacterial small subunit ribosomal RNA", at positions 28 to 435 of the family's 1533-position model. The record is from RNAcentral.